CCUUGAUAUGUUCUUUUCUCCUUUUCAGCUCUUCCCCAGCACCCUUGGCUCUAGACACACUGACCUGCUCUCUGCUCCUGUGUGUGAUUGACUCUUUAAACUGCAAAGCCUUUGCAUUUGCAUCUGCCUGGAAAUUCUUCCACGAUUCAGAUUAAGCUCAGAGGCCCUCUCUGACACUUCAGGCAGAUUUCUCUUGAGUUUUUCUUGCUAUCGUUCCUGGCAAAGUGCAGCUUCAGAAUUUAUUUUCUUGUCUGCCUCCUAAGAUAGUGAGCUCAAAGACCAGGGUCAACCAUAAUGUGAUGGUAGAAUGCCACAUCCAAUGAGCUCUGCUCUCUGAAUACCUUUAGUGAAGUCCAAGUUAACUCAGAUAUGCAGCAGUGGCCAAAGGUAUAGCAACAUCCUUCAGUGCUCAGCCUCUGCAGUACAAUGUAUGCAAGGAUAGUGGGCCUUUCAGCAGCAGUAGAGAUGCUGAUGGAGCAACCUCCUGUGGUCUUUGAACAUUAUUCCUAGAUGCAUAGACUCCAAUUCUGUGGCUGUCUAGGAGAUUUUGUGAAUAAAAUUAUUUAUUUAUUUAUUCAUUCAUUCUCCUGAUGGUGGGGAUUGAACCCAGGGUCUUGUGCAUGUGAGGCAAGCACUUUACCAAUUGAGCUAUAUCCCCAGCCCCAAAUUAUUCUUUAUAUUAUUAUUAUUUACUAAACCAAUUAGACUGGCUUUUAUAGUCUGUGAUUGGAGGAGUUCUGAGUCAGAUCUCUAACCUGGGAAAACCCUGAAGUCAGGUCAUUCCAGUACUGCUAUACCUGAUAUCUGCCACAUGGAGCCACUUUGGAGAGCUGUCCUUUAGGACCUCACCUUAGUUAACUCUCCUUUGGAGCCCCCAGUACUAGGGGCUUAACCUUAACACUUUGACACCUCUCCUAUCCCUGUACAGACUCACCUGGUCUGUUGAGGGGCCAAGAUACCAAUGCUUUCC
Molecule: long non-coding RNA, 970 nt
Filed under: Marmota monax (woodchuck)
Lineage: Eukaryota; Metazoa; Chordata; Mammalia; Rodentia; Sciuridae
Source: RNAcentral